GAAGCACCGUGGCGAGAAGG
Molecule: unclassified non-coding RNA, 20 nt
Filed under: Mus musculus (house mouse)
Lineage: Eukaryota; Metazoa; Chordata; Mammalia; Rodentia; Muridae
Description: oocyte_clustered_small_RNA10306
Source: RNAcentral